Molecule: ribosomal RNA, 143 nt
Filed under: uncultured eukaryote
Lineage: Eukaryota
Description: partial small subunit ribosomal RNA
Rfam family: Bacterial small subunit ribosomal RNA
Source: RNAcentral
GUACACACCGCCCGUCACACCAUGGGAGUGGGUUUCACCAGAAGUAGGUAGCCUAACCGCAAGGAGGGCGCUUACCACGGUGGGAUUCAUGACUGGGGUGAAGUCGUAACAAGGUUUCCGUAGGUGAACCUGCAGAAGGAUCA